GGGGACAACCAGCCGAAAGGUUGGCUAAUACCGCAUGAGUUCUACGGAAGAAAGAGGGGGACCCGCAAGGGCCUCUCGCGAGCGGAGCGGCCGAUGACUGAUUAGCCUGUUGGUGAGGUAACGGCUCACCAAAGCAACGAUCAGUAGCUGGUCUGAGAGGACGACCAGCCACACUGGGACUGAGACACAGCCCAGACUCCUACGGGAGGCAGCAGUGGGGAAUUUUGGACAAUGGGCGUAAGCCUGAUCCAGCUAUUCCGCGUGUGGGAUGAAGGCCCUCGGGUUGUAAACCACUUUUGUAGAGAACGAAAAGACACCUUUUAAAAAAGGGUGUUGCUGACGGUACUCUAAGAAUAAGCACCGGCUAACUACGUGCCAGCAGCCGCGGUAAUACGUAGGGUGCGAGCGUUAAUCGGAAUUACUGGGCGUAAAGGGUGCGCAGGCGGUUGAGUAGGACAGAUGUGAAAUCCCCGAGCUUAACUCGGGAAUGGCAUAUGUGACUGCUCGACUAGAGUGUGUCAGAGGGAGGUGGAAUUCCACGUGUAGCAGUGAAAUGCGUAGAUAUGUGGAAGAACACCGAUGGCGAAGGCAGCCUCCUGGGACAUAACUGACGCUCAGGCACGAAAGCGUGGGGAGCAAACAGGAUUAGAUACCCU
RNAcentral lists this ribosomal RNA (656 nucleotides) under uncultured bacterium. Its description in RNAcentral is "bacterial SSU rRNA". It matches the Rfam family "Bacterial small subunit ribosomal RNA", at positions 139 to 788 of the family's 1533-position model. The record is from RNAcentral.